RNAcentral lists this ribosomal RNA (237 nucleotides) under uncultured bacterium. RNAcentral describes it as "partial 16S ribosomal RNA". It matches the Rfam family "Bacterial small subunit ribosomal RNA", at positions 524 to 759 of the family's 1533-position model. The record is from RNAcentral.
UACGUAGGGUGCGAGCGUUGUCCGGAAUUAUUGGGCGUAAAGAGCUUGUAGGUGGUUUGUCGCGUCUGCUGUGAAAAUCCGAGGCUCAACCUCGGACUUGCAGUGGGUACGGGCAGACUAGAGUGUGGUAGGGGGAGACUGGAAUUCCUGGUGUAGCGGUGGAAUGCGCAGAUAUCAGGAGGAACACCGAUGGCGAAGGCAGCCCCCUGGGCUAACACUGACGCUGAGGCACGGAAA